RNAcentral lists this ribosomal RNA (1404 nucleotides) under Bifidobacterium pseudocatenulatum. RNAcentral describes it as "bacterial SSU rRNA". It matches the Rfam family "Bacterial small subunit ribosomal RNA". The record is from RNAcentral. Lineage: Bacteria; Bacillati; Actinomycetota; Actinomycetes; Bifidobacteriales; Bifidobacteriaceae.
ACCAUGCAAGUCGAACGGGAUCCAUCAGGCUUUGCUUGGUGGUGAGAGUGGCGAACGGGUGAGUAAUGCGUGACCGACCUGCCCCAUACACCGGAAUAGCUCCUGGAAACGGGUGGUAAUGCCGGAUGCUCCGACUCCUCGCAUGGGGUGUCGGGAAAGAUUUCAUCGGUAUGGGAUGGGGUCGCGUCCUAUCAGGUAGUCGGCGGGGUAACGGCCCACCGAGCCUACGACGGGUAGCCGGCCUGAGAGGGCGACCGGCCACAUUGGGACUGAGAUACGGCCCAAACUCCUACGGGAGGCAGCAGUGGGGAAUAUUGCACAAUGGGCGCAAGCCUGAUGCAGCGACGCCGCGUGCGGGAUGACGGCCUUCGGGUUGUAAACCGCUUUUGAUCGGGAGCAAGCCUUCGGGUGAGUGUACCUUUCGAAUAAGCACCGGCUAACUACGUGCCAGCAGCCGCGGUAAUACGUAGGGUGCAAGCGUUAUCCGGAAUUAUUGGGCGUAAAGGGCUCGUAGGCGGUUCGUCGCGUCCGGUGUGAAAGUCCAUCGCUUAACGGUGGAUCUGCGCCGGGUACGGGCGGGCUGGAGUGCGGUAGGGGAGACUGGAAUUCCCGGUGUAACGGUGGAAUGUGUAGAUAUCGGGAAGAACACCAAUGGCGAAGGCAGGUCUCUGGGCCGUUACUGACGCUGAGGAGCGAAAGCGUGGGGAGCGAACAGGAUUAGAUACCCUGGUAGUCCACGCCGUAAACGGUGGAUGCUGGAUGUGGGGCCCGUUCCACGGGUUCCGUGUCGGAGCUAACGCGUUAAGCAUCCCGCCUGGGGAGUACGGCCGCAAGGCUAAAACUCAAAGAAAUUGACGGGGGCCCGCACAAGCGGCGGAGCAUGCGGAUUAAUUCGAUGCAACGCGAAGAACCUUACCUGGGCUUGACAUGUUCCCGACAGCCGUAGAGAUAUGGCCUCCCUUCGGGGCGGGUUCACAGGUGGUGCAUGGUCGUCGUCAGCUCGUGUCGUGAGAUGUUGGGUUAAGUCCCGCAACGAGCGCAACCCUCGCCCUGUGUUGCCAGCACGUCAUGGUGGGAACUCACGGGGGACCGCCGGGGUCAACUCGGAGGAAGGUGGGGAUGACGUCAGAUCAUCAUGCCCCUUACGUCCAGGGCUUCACGCAUGCUACAAUGGCCGGUACAACGGGAUGCGACACGGCGACGUGGAGCGGAUCCCUGAAAACCGGUCUCAGUUCGGAUUGGAGUCUGCAACCCGACUCCAUGAAGGCGGAGUCGCUAGUAAUCGCGGAUCAGCAACGCCGCGGUGAAUGCGUUCCCGGGCCUUGUACACACCGCCCGUCAAGUCAUGAAAGUGGGUAGCACCCGAAGCCGGUGGCCUAACCCUUUGUGGAUGGAGCCGUCUAA